This is a long non-coding RNA of Canis lupus familiaris (dog), 974 nucleotides long. RefSeq lists it as uncharacterized. The record is from RefSeq and is a predicted model, not a curated record. The transcript has 3 exons. Lineage: Eukaryota; Metazoa; Chordata; Mammalia; Carnivora; Canidae.
AGGAACCUUAAGUGUUGUUUAAGUAUCAAAAAUAACCAAUAGCAGAUAGUGUCAGAAAGGAGUAUUUUUUAGUUUUUAUUUUGGUUGUUGUUAAAAAACUUUAAAUGGAGAUGACAAGAUCGGGACCUCAUCUGGUGCCUUGCUUCCAGAAAAGACAGUCCCUCGGGGGAAUGGAUCAAUGACCCUCACAUGCUUGUCUCUCUUGGGGCAGUGAGUUGUUCUUUUCUGAACAUCACCCAGGGACCCUGGGAUUCCAAGUAAGAGAUAUCUAGACGCCAUAAACUGGAGCCUUAUGAGACAUCUGGAAUUAGAAGGAGUCUCUUGUCCUUUGGCCAAAAGUUCCAGGGAAAGUGACAUCUCCAAUCUAGGGAAGUUAAAGAUUUGGGGAAAAGGAGAAAAUCACCACAUUUAGUCAAGAUGUCUUACCCACAAAGUCAUUGAAGGGGAAUAAAUCUAUUUCGGAUAACCGUGAAUGGAACCUUUGAGACUGCUAUAACAUCCUGUUGCAAAGCGUGCAUUUAUAUAAAUGGAAAUAGAGUUUGCGGGUACUAAAACCUAAAUGAGACGUAAAGGAAGCACAUGCUCAUCUAAGAAUGUAAGGCCAGGGCAGGGGUGCUGGAUCCUAACUGGUAGUUCCCUUGAGUUCACACAUUUUGUGAGUUCUGUGUAAUGUACGUUUGCAGAGGGAAUUUUUUUUCAUAUUUCUUAGAAGGCCAUAACAUGGACCAGUUAACUGGUUUUAUUUUGAGUCACCCUGAGUGUACAGAAGCUGUAAUGUGGAUAAUAAACCAGGAGUUUUGCUGCACCAAUGUUGUAUCAACACUCUUGCUCUGAUGACUGCUGUCUGCUUGCCUCAGACGCAGGGCUUUCAGGCCUGUUGGAAAACAGAGUGGGGGAGAAGCUUCCUGAGAAGAUUUACUUCAUACAGCUGCCCCAGUUGGUCUUCCUACCAUGACUCGAGUCUACCUGAAGAC